CAUAAUGGAAAUGCUUGUUCAAUUUUAGUUCUGAAAUGAUAAUUUAUCAGCAUUGACAUCGACACUGUGUCUACAGUGUGGUGUCAUGUUAUCAAUUGGCACAAAAAAUUGCACUAUAAUGAUGUAUUUCAUGCCUAAAUCAAAAUGCCAGCUAUCAUGUCUAGCUAUUGCCUGUUCUAUGGUUGCUUCCACUUUUACAUUUUAUUCAUGUCUUCCAAGAUGAGUUGCUGCCAGAAAACAUCAUGUUUGAUCAUGUGAUCCAUUCCCUAGGGCUUUUUGACUCUACCGUAAUAAUGAAACAACAGCAAAAAAAAGUCUCCGUUUACGAACUGAUUUGUUUUUGCGUUUAUUGCUCCCCACAUCAAACAUUCACUCAGUGGAGUGGGGAUCCCAUGGUCACCUCAUUUUUUAUACCAAAAAAAAAAUCAGAUUUUAUUAGUCAAAUCAUAAAAUCUAUUAUCAGGAUAUGUGUUGGGUGGAUGUCUGGCCAGGACACCACCUCCCAAAACCCUUUCAGUACCACGCGAUGC
Molecule: long non-coding RNA, 530 nt
Filed under: Elaeis guineensis (African oil palm)
Lineage: Eukaryota; Viridiplantae; Streptophyta; Magnoliopsida; Arecales; Arecaceae
Description: long non-coding RNA (EGUI_LNC022878)
Source: RNAcentral